Hirundo rustica (Barn swallow) is the source of this 869-nucleotide long non-coding RNA. RefSeq lists it as uncharacterized. Lineage: Eukaryota; Metazoa; Chordata; Aves; Passeriformes; Hirundinidae. The record is from RefSeq and is a predicted model, not a curated record. The transcript is spliced from 4 exons.
UCUGUGCUCUGAGGAGGAAGGCACAGGAGGCUGUGCAAGGGCCAGAAGGGGUGAGACUUUGUAUAAGGGACAGACAGGGUUAGGUGGCUGUGCUAGGGACAGGAAGCUGUGAGCUGGAAAUGCAGAAGGAAGGUAGAAGAAGGAGAGAGUCAGAGCUGUGUGGAGCUACUCAUGGGACUGUGACAUAGAAAUGUUUUAGAUAACAAGGUACUGAUGCUUGGAGCCCCCUGAACUUUUUACAGAAGCAGUCGAGUGCUGUGGCCAUCUCGACGAUGACAACACACGGGUCCUGGACAUCGGAAAACACUGCAUUGUUUGGCCAAGUUUCUGAAUAGGGGAGAUCUCGAGCAGGUGCUGAAGGAGCAGCCAUUGAAGAGUGAUAAGUCUAAUCUGCAAGAGAACAGGGGCCGAGCAUGGACGCCAGGAGAACCCACAGGAGCCCCUGCGAGAGGCGGCCAUCAGGUUCAUCGGAAUGUGCGGGCGGAGCCUGAGGAGGCAGCGGGAACAGCCCCAGCUCGUCUGUAAAGCCCGUCAAGCCCAGAGGCAAGAUGCCAGCCCAUCGUGCUCUAACCUGCAAAAUCAAGCCUGGUUUCCCCGAAGAGCUAAAGAAUUAGGGACAUCUUCUGAAUCCAGUGAACCAGCAUCCCGAGAACACACUAGGAGGCACUGAAGAGGAUGCCAUCUCUCAGUGCUGCUGGAGCUCCAGGAACAGCUGAUGCUGGGCACAGUUCUCAUAACUUCAUGCCUCUUCUCCCUGUUAUGCGGAUACUUCCCUCCCUCCAGCCCUCAGACCCUGCCCAUCCCCUUUCUCCCCUCCGGCUCAUCCCCUUGCUUUGCCUGCCAUCAAUAAACAGUUUGGCUUCUUCACA